RNAcentral lists this ribosomal RNA (254 nucleotides) under Euplotes focardii. RNAcentral's name for it is "partial Eukaryotic small subunit ribosomal RNA". It matches the Rfam family "Eukaryotic small subunit ribosomal RNA", at positions 324 to 582 of the family's 1831-position model. Lineage: Eukaryota; Ciliophora; Spirotrichea; Euplotida; Euplotidae. The record is from RNAcentral.
GAUGGUAGUGUAUUGGACUACCAUGGCGUUCACGGGUAACGGAGAAUUAGGGUUCGAUUCCGGAGAAGCAGCCUGAGAAACGGCUACUACAUCUACGGCAGGCAGCAGGCGCGUAAAUUACCCAAUCCUAAAUCAGGGAGGUAGUCACAAGAAAUAACGAGCCAGAAUUAAGUUUCUAGUAUUGCAAUGGAUUCACUUUAAAUCCUUGUUUGAAAUCAAUUGGAGGGCAAGUCUGGUGCCAGCAGCCGCGGUAA